Molecule: long non-coding RNA, 932 nt
Organism: Poecile atricapillus (Black-capped chickadee)
Lineage: Eukaryota; Metazoa; Chordata; Aves; Passeriformes; Paridae
Exons: 3
Source: RefSeq, a predicted model, not a curated record
ACGUGCCUCGCCUUAUCUCUUCUGGGGGCUUACCAGAAACCCCAGUGUCACUCCUCGCAUCUCUGAUCUCUGGGCUCCUCAGCCCGACACCAUCGAAGCUUUGCCUCGGGAGCUCUCAGAGGCCUCGGAAUCGCGUCUCUCUUUUAAAAGCAUCCGAUCGGAUGUCUUUUAGAGGUCUUGUUCCGUGCUGUGUCAACAGCCGUGCGCCGUGAGGAUCCAUUGUUGCGGCUUAGGUCUUGAAGAAACGCAGAGAUAGGUAGGGGGCUGUGGCCCUCAGAUUCUCGGGCAUCCGUCUUGGCAGUUGCUGGAGUUUGUCAUUCCAUCAGCAUCUUCUUCCUCCCGGGUUCUGCGAGCUUCAUCAGCUCAUUCUCACCCGGCUCAUCUCGUUCCGCGUUCUCUCGGUCCUUGCGGCCGUUCUUGUGGCCCAGAGUUUUGUCUCCCCAUUGUGUCCCCUCGUCUGUUGUCUUGUGUGUCACGGGUGUCUGGGUGUAGUUGUCCCGGAGCUGCUCUGUCCUGCUGCCCAGCCUGGGUGUAGGUGUAAAAGGCCGAGUCCCAGGCCCCUGUAAUUUGAAAUUUGUGAUGUAGGGUGUAGUUGGAGUCUAGCGGGUGCUCCUAGAUUGACACAAGAUGUCUGGAGCUGUAAAGUUACCCUGCAGCACUUUGACUUUUGUCUCAGCUUUCUUUCAGAUGCGGACGGAUGAAAUCGGUGGCAGAGCGCCCCAUGCAGGGUAAGGGGGUUCCCGCGAGAAGGAAGUGAAGCCGGCUAGCAGCAGUCAAGGCGAAGUGGGCAAGGCGGUCCAGUCGCAUUUCGCCGAGAUCCCCUCCCCAACCGGCCGGCACAGCUGUUUCACCGCUCCCGUGAGCCCUGCGGAAGCGUUACGGAACCGUGUGACGGAGCCUUUUCCACGUAAAGGGGCCGUGUGGGUGGCCUU